RNAcentral lists this ribosomal RNA (430 nucleotides) under Pseudomonadota bacterium. RNAcentral describes it as "Proteobacteria bacterium partial 16S ribosomal RNA". It matches the Rfam family "Bacterial small subunit ribosomal RNA", at positions 355 to 776 of the family's 1533-position model. Lineage: Bacteria; Pseudomonadati; Pseudomonadota. The record is from RNAcentral.
UGGGGAAUAUUGGACAAUGGGGGGAACCCUGAUCCAGCCAUGCCGCGUGUGUGAAGAAGGCCUUAUGGUUGUAAAGCACUUUAAGCGAGGAGGAGGGUACUGGUAUUAAUACUACCAGGUACUGGACGUUACUCGCAGAAUAAGCACCGGCUAACUCUGUGCCAGCAGCCGCGGUAAUACAGAGGGUGCGAGCGUUAAUCGGAUUUACUGGGCGUAAAGCGUGCGUAGGCGGCUAAUUGAGUCGGAUGUGAAAUCCCCGAGCUUAACUUGGGAAUUGCAUUCGAUACUGGUUAGCUAGAGUGUGGGAGAGGAUGGUAGACUUCCAGGUGUAGCGGUGAAAUGCGUAGAGAUCUGGAGGAAUACCGAUGGCGAAGGCAGCCAUCUGGCCUAACACUGACGCUGAGGUACGAAAGCAUGGGGAGCAAACAGG